Molecule: long non-coding RNA, 452 nt
Filed under: Chrysemys picta bellii (western painted turtle)
Lineage: Eukaryota; Metazoa; Chordata; Testudines; Emydidae
Description: lncRNA (ENSCPBG00000020263.1)
Source: RNAcentral
GGUUGGAAAGUGAAGAUAAUUUUUCUUUUAACUGGCUCCUUGAGAAAAUGCUUUGUUCUAUAUAUUAUUAGCCUUCUGUCUGCAAAACAGCAGAUUGGAUCACUCUGUUCCUCAUUGUUCCAAACACUCUGAUUGCCCUGCAGAUGCCAGCUGAUCAAUGCCCAAGCUGAACCUCUCACCAGACUAGAUUUUGACAGAGACUGUGCCACCAAGCAGGGGCUUGAGUGGGAGUCAGACUCCUCAAUGCCCCCCACAACGUACGGAUUUGAACAAGCACAGAGGUCUGAGAUGGCUAUUCCCUGCUCGUCUCACAGCUAUUCGUCGGGGUAUACUUAUAGAGCACAGAAGCGGAGCAUAGAGGCUCUUGGGACACAUUGCAUCAGGCCUGCAGUUAAGAAGCUGAAAGAAAAGAUCUGAGUGACAUGGGAACAUGAUAGCAGUAAGUUUGAGAA